Molecule: small RNA, 297 nt
Filed under: Oryza sativa Japonica Group (Japanese rice)
Lineage: Eukaryota; Viridiplantae; Streptophyta; Magnoliopsida; Poales; Poaceae
Description: sRNA Os08g0544101
Source: RNAcentral
UCUGGAAUAAUUCCGGCUAUCAGAUUAUCAGGGAAAGGAACAAGCAACAGCCCGGGGCCAAACGACAAGCCCACGAUUAAUGCAGAUGCCAUCAUCUUCACUACCGAUGUCGUCAUCGAUGCACUGUUCAGGCUGCUGGAGCUCUAGCUCGAGUAAAAGACAGGUUAGAUAUCUGUGCUAUAUACUGCUAUACCUCUGAAUUUAUUACCGUGCAUUAUUUGACCUGGCUUAGUUAUUGGGAAUAUCAUCAGGAUUUAUGAAUGAUCUGUUGCCGGUUGGGUGAAAGAAGCCCAUGUC